CCUACGGGGCGCUGCAGUGGGGAAUAUUGGACAAUGGGCGAAAGCCUGAUCCAGCCAUGCCGCGUGUGUGAAGAAGGCCUUCGGGUUGUAAAGCACUUUCAGUGGGGAAGAAAGCCUUGGGGCUAAUACCCUCGAGGAAGGACAUCACCCACAGAAGAAGCACCGGCUAACUCCGUGCCAGCAGCCGCGGUAAUACGGAGGGUGCGAGCGUUAAUCGGGAUUACUGGGCGUAAAGCGCGCGUAGGCGGUCUGAUAAGCCGGUUGUGAAAGCCCCGGGCUCAACCUGGGAACGGCAUCCGGAACUGUCAGGCUAGAGUGCAGGAGAGGAAGGUAGAAUUCCCGGUGUAGCGGUGAAAUGCGUAGAGAUCGGGAGGAAUACCAGUGGCGAAGGCGGCCUUCUGGACUGACACUGACGCUGAGGUGCGAAAGCGUGGGUAGCAAACAGGAUUAGAUACCCUAGUAGUC
Molecule: ribosomal RNA, 465 nt
Filed under: Vreelandella stevensii
Lineage: Bacteria; Pseudomonadati; Pseudomonadota; Gammaproteobacteria; Oceanospirillales; Halomonadaceae
Description: partial 16S ribosomal RNA
Rfam family: Bacterial small subunit ribosomal RNA
Source: RNAcentral